RNAcentral lists this ribosomal RNA (403 nucleotides) under uncultured bacterium. RNAcentral describes it as "partial 16S ribosomal RNA". It matches the Rfam family "Bacterial small subunit ribosomal RNA", at positions 28 to 526 of the family's 1533-position model. The record is from RNAcentral.
GACGAACGCUGGCGGCGUGCCUAAUACAUGCAAGUCGAACGCAGUGGGGACAGGUGAGUAGCACGUGGGUAACCUCCCAUCAGAGGGGAGAAAACGUGGAAACAGGUGCUAAACCGAUACUGAUGGAUGGACCCGCGGGGCAUUAGCUAGUUGGGGGGGUAACGGCUCACCAAGGCCACGAGGCAUAGCCGACCUGAGAGGGGGAUCGGCCACACUGGGACUGAGACACGGCCCAGACUCCUACGGGAGGCAGCAGUAGGGAAUCUUGGGCAAUGGACGAAAGCCUGACCGAGCAACGCCGCGUGAGUGAAGAAGGUCUUCGGAUCGUAAAACUCUGUUGUUAGAGAAGCGGUAUCUAACCAGAAAGCAACGGCUAACUACGUGCCAGCAGCCGCGGUAAUAC